This 279-nucleotide long non-coding RNA is filed under the name Mytilus galloprovincialis (Mediterranean mussel). The record is from RNAcentral. Lineage: Eukaryota; Metazoa; Mollusca; Bivalvia; Mytilida; Mytilidae.
GUGGCAUGUAACAUGUCUUCUGAUUGGCCGAAAGUUUGUUGUUUAUCAGUUCAUAGACAUAAGUUUGUCCUUUGACCGUAACGUCAUCAACAUUUUUCAGUGAUUUACUCCCUUAAAAAUGAGAAUUUAGAAUUAAAUCAUAAGUAAUGACUGUUAUAUAUUUUCUGUCUAUUCUAAAUAACCUCAAAACUGUGGUGCACAUAACCUGCUACGAGUGUUGUUUAGUGUGCACCAUUUUUUUUAAGUCAUCUCUUUAUAGACAGAAAAAAGAAUAGUACA